AGAGUUUGAUCCUGGCUCAGGACGAACGCUGGCGGCGCGCCUAACACAUGCAAGUCGAACGGAGAUGAUAAAAGCUUGCUUUGAUCAUCUUAGUGGCAGACGGGUGAGUAACACGUGAGCAACCUGCCUUUCAGAGGGGGAUAACGUUUGGAAACGAACGCUAAUACCGCAUAACGUAUACGGAUGGCAUCAACUGUAUACCAAAGGAGCAAUCCGCUGAAAGAUGGGCUCGCGUCCGAUUAGCUAGAUGGUGAGGUAACGGCCCACCAUGGCGACGAUCAGUAGCCGGACUGAGAGGUUGAACGGCCACAUUGGGACUGAGACACGGCCCAGACUCCUACGGGAGGCAGCAGUGAGGGAUAUUGCACAAUGGGGGAAACCCUGAUGCAGCAAUGCCGCGUGAAGGAUGACGGUUUUCGGAUUGUAAACUUCUGUUCCAGAUCAUGAAAAAAAUGACUAAUCUGGCAGCAAGCCACGGCUAACUACGUGCCAGCAGCCGCGGUAAUACGUAGGUGGCGAGCGUUAUCCGGAUUUACUGGGUGUAAAGGGUGCGUAGGCGGGAUAGCAAGUUGGAUGUGAAAUACCGAGGCUCAACUUCGGAGCUGCAUCCAAAACUGUUAUUCUUGAGUGGAGUAGAGGUAAGCGGAAUUCCGAGUGUAGCGGUGAAAUGCGUAGAUAUUCGGAGGAACACCGGUGGCGAAGGCGGCUUACUGGGCUCUAACUGACGCUGAGGCACGAAAGUAUGGGUAGCAAACAGGAUUAGAUACCCUGGUAGUCCAUACUGUAAACGAUGAUAGCUAAGGGUGGGGGGGUCCGACCCCCUUCCGUGGCGGAAUUAAC
RNAcentral lists this ribosomal RNA (840 nucleotides) under uncultured bacterium. RNAcentral's name for it is "bacterial SSU rRNA". It matches the Rfam family "Bacterial small subunit ribosomal RNA", at positions 8 to 856 of the family's 1533-position model. The record is from RNAcentral.